UUCGCAGGAGGCUGCACACAACAGACACAAGCAAGAAAGCGCCAGACCCAGGUCCUGGGCCUCCCGGAUGGGGAAGCCAUACUGCUCUUCUGAUGGUCUCAUAUGGACCUUGACAGCAGAAAAUGCCAUUUGGAUCUGAAAAGAGGCGACACUGUAUUUAAAAGCAUCCCAACCCCUGCUCCAACUCCUUUCCUCUGUUUCCUUCUCUAACUCAUCUUCUGCUCUCACACUCCUGUUCUUUGCUCUCUUCUGCCCACCUUUUCCCUUUUUUACCCUUUGCAGCUACAGUUUUAGGAGCAUUUGCACACUGGACAUGAAAAUGGCUAGUUCUCCUUGUCUCUCUCUCUCUCUCUCUCUCUAUCUCCCUUUUUUUUUUAUUUUUUUCUCCUUGUCUCUUCAAUGAAAUGCCAAAAGAAAGAUGGAAUCCUCAGAAUCCUUGAUGGGUUGGUCGGGAAGUGGAACUCCAAGGGGACCUGAGUGCCAUCACAAGAGAACUAUUUCUCCGCAGAAGUUCCUAUGUUAAAGGAUGGGGGCUGGGAGGGAGUGGGAGUCUGACCAACCACUGCCCCAAAGCUGGGGUGUGAGCAUUUAUGGGCCAGCAAAUGUAACAUUAAGAGCAAGCCUUUGUCGAAUCUCAGAAUUUGGCAGCCUAGAUGGACACGCUCUACCCAUCACCAAAGAGGGCUUACCUUUCCAGCUUAGAGUCAAUGCCCCAGCCCUGAGAGCUCAAGUCAAGGACAGUGAUCCUGGAGCACUCACAGAAGCACCCAGACCCAGGGAGGGCACACAGGCAUCCCCACUCGCCCAGUGCUGUAUAAUAGUCACUUCGAGACUGACCACACAUGUAGCACUCUGGACUGUCAAAAAUAGAACGUGGAUUGUCAUUGUCUGUUCUCCUGCAGAAAUAGCGUGGUUUUGUUCUCCCCCAGUGAUAGCUAUCUUGGAAAACCAUGUGGUGGAUGAGGUUUCCUGAGGAUGCUCCUUUUCCUACGUAAGAAAGUAGGAGAUAGCUAAACGAUCCGAUGGGAGGAGCUCAGGUGAUCAUUCUUCGAGUCGCACAGCUUUGGCCCAGGCAUUGACUACUGAGAUGAGCAGCUCUCUGGGAAACAGAAACCACGUGGAAUGAAUUCAACAGAUAUUGGAGGCUCAACAUUCAAAAAGCCAACACCAAAUUAACAUAGCUAGAAAGAGCAGGAAAUAGCUCCCAUACCUAGGGCCGGAAAACCAGAAAGAAUAUAUAUAAGGGGAUUGUAAAGUCUGGAUGCUUGGAAGAGAGGCCCCGUGAAGCUGGAACCUGGAGCUGUGAGGUGAAGCUGCCGUCUAGCCAUUGCUGUUACCUCAGGCAAUCAGAGGGGACAAAGCCCCCAGAAUCAGGACCCAAACCUUUGGGAGGAGGCUUAGUACCUGGCUGAUGCUGGCUCCUCAGGAAUUCGAAGGAGGGACCCUGCAAAGCUCGCAGCUGAGAAGAAGGGGAAACCCACCUUUGGUAGAACCUCCAGAGUCUAAACAAGACCCUUGCAGCGCUGAGAUCCAGAGGGGACAUCGCCACACUGCUGCAAGAGUUCUGAAGAGGCACCCGUUUGCCGCCAGGACUCAGAACAGGAGGCACAGGGCUGCUGACGCGGAUAUCUCUGAAGGGGCACACUGAAAAUCCUUCUGGGAAUAGGAGGAAAACACUAGAAUCUGGGGCCAACUGUAACUACUGGAAACAACUGCCAAGAUGAAGCACUAUUGCUGAAGUGAUGUAGAAAAGGAACAGUGAGCAAACAGGAAGAAGCAAAUCCUUCUCAUUUUCCUGCCUUCUAGUGCUCCCAUUAGCAGACUCAAAUGGGAGAGAGCUGGUUUGUAGGUACUCAGGAAAUCAGUGUUUGAAGCUGACAUACAGUAGCUUCAAAUUCAUUGUAUGUUUACUUUUGAGAGAGAGAGAGAGAAAGAGAGUAUGUGAGCAGGGGAGGGGCAGAGAGAGGGAGACACAGAAUCUGAAGCAGGCUCCGGUCUCCGAGUUGUCAGCACAGAGCCUGACACGGGGCUCAAACUUAUGAAUCCUGAGAUCAUGACCUGAGCUGAAGUCAGAUGAGCCAACAGCCACCCAGGCGCCCCAACAGACAGCAGCUUCAAAACCAACACAUCUCACAUCCUCAACACAGGCUCUCUUCUUUCUUCCCAGAAGUCUUUCUCUUCUCAAGAUCCAUAGCUAGCAUCUGGUCCCCCCCUAAAUUCCUGCAUGAACAUCACUUCUUAUGUUUGAAAAGCUUUAAGUCCUCCUCACUGAAGUUUGUUACCCUAACUAGGCCUACUUCUGCCCUUGUGAAUAGGUCUCUCUGUUCCUUUUCCUCUGGUUUCAGUGACAAUCUUGAGUGAGAGAGGGACUCAAAGGAUGAACAGAUGCCGAUUCUAAAACACAGCCAUUUGGGAUGUGGCCUGGUCACUAAUGGCUGUUGUUGCUAGAAUAGGAGUAACUCCAGCAUAAGUGACGAAGAGACAAAGUAUCAGGGAGCCAGGCUCUGAGUCUGUCUAAAUACCCUCGUAAUGCGACCACCACCCACUGGCUCUGAGCCUUAAGCAAACUGACUCAUAAAGUCACCUCAUCAUCAGGGGGAUCAGCUGAGCUUAGAGCUGGCAAUACUAUUUGUAAUCGAACAUUAAAUACAAAUGUUAAACGACCUUAUGUGAUUGCUGAUCAUCUACUAUGCUACUUUUAUAAUCAAGAAUUUCUAAUAUAUUAUCCAAAAAAACCCCAUUAUUUGCCACUGGGAAAAAAAAUCAGACCUAUAUUCUUUCAUCUUAAAAUGGGAGAGUUUGUGAAGAUGGUUUUGGUGUAAUUCCGGUAUUAAUAUUCUAUCAGAUUAAAUAUAAAGAAUAUUUUAAAAAUCCUAAUCUACUUUCAGUUGAUAGAAUUCAAUAGCAUGUAUACAAAGAGUACUUAAAAAAUUGGCAGUCAUCAUUAAAGGAAGACAUUAUCUUCUGGGCAGGGGAUGUUCCUUAGUAUUUAGAGGUAAGUAGUCUGGGUGCAAUUUCCUGUGGCACCCUCAAAACCUGAGCACCUGAGCAAAUACAUUAUUUGGCCUCCGUAAUCUUCAGCUUCUUUUCUGAUAAACUAGAUGCAAUAAUAACACUUCCUCAAAGUUAGUAGGAGGUUUAAAUGAGUUAAUGUUUAGGGGCACCUGGGUGGCUCAGUCGGUUGAGCAUCUGACUUUGGCUCGGGUCAUGAUCUCAUCGUUCACAAGUUCAAGCCCCCCACCAGGCUUGCUACUAUCAGCUCAGAUCCUCUAUAUUUCAGAUCCUCUAUCCCUCUCUCUCUCUCUCUGCCCCUCCCCUGCUCAUACUCUCUCUCUCAAAAAUGAAUAAACAUUUAAAAAAAAAUGUCUUUUUCCAACACAAUGGCAGGUCCCAUUGUUACUGGAGAAGAGAGUUCAGAAAUAUGUUUGAGACAUUUCACAAUGCAAUAGCACGGCAUAGCUAGAUGUGGAGCAGGGUAGAGUAAGGCACAACUUUCAAAAGUGAUUUUCCCUCGUCUUUCUGCCUUCGCUUUUUAAAAAUCAUUUUGCUGCAUGUGUGGAGGCACUCAGGAUCAAACAUGUGGUACCAACAGUCUAGCAGCAGAGCCACAGAGACAGAUGGUUACUCCAGGACAUCCUCCUCAGUCUCAGGCUUCAACCUCAGUUAGAACGGAGAGACAAGCCCACCGAGGUGACUUAGCAAAAAGCCUAGAACUAUGGAGAUCCAGACUAAUCUCUGUUCUCUCUUUCACCAAGAGAAGACAAUAACAGAAGACUUCAUGAAGAAAUGAUCCAUAUGAGAGCUGAGAUCACCUAACAGAGCAGAAGGAAAAAAAAUGGAACGGAAGGAGCCAAAGACCCAUACUAGGGAAGCAGUGUUUUCCUUUGUUUCCCAAAUCAGGUGGACCGCUCUUUCCUACAAACAGGGACACUACCAUUGAAAGACCACCACGAACAAAGGACUUCCCUGCUUCAGCUGAGUCACUCUUAACUGCAGUUAGGGCUUUGGGGGUCAUCGCCUCAAAUUGUUUGCUUAAUGGUGGGGUUUUUCCUUUGCAUGAAAAUCUGGGGAAUUUGUCUCAAAUGUCUCUAUACCCAGCUAUUUUUUUUAAUUCAAGUAUAAUUAAAGUACAGUAUUAUGUUAA
Molecule: long non-coding RNA, 4144 nt
Organism: Acinonyx jubatus (cheetah)
Lineage: Eukaryota; Metazoa; Chordata; Mammalia; Carnivora; Felidae
Exons: 2
Source: RefSeq, a predicted model, not a curated record